Molecule: ribosomal RNA, 457 nt
Filed under: Streptococcus sp. oral taxon C56
Lineage: Bacteria; Bacillati; Bacillota; Bacilli; Lactobacillales; Streptococcaceae
Description: bacterial SSU rRNA
Rfam family: Bacterial small subunit ribosomal RNA
Source: RNAcentral
GACGAACGCUGGCGGCGUGCCUAAUACAUGCAAGUAGAACGCUGAAGGAGGAGCUUGCUCUUCUGGAUGAGUUGCGAACGGGUGAGUAACGCGUAGGUAACCUGCCUGGUAGUGGGGGAUAACUAUUGGAAACGAUAGCUAAUACCGCAUAAUAACAGUUGUUGCAUGACAACUGUUUGAAAGGUGCAAUUGCAUCACUACCAGAUGGACCUGCGUUGUAUUAGCUAGUUGGUGGGGUAACGGCUCACCAAGGCGACGAUACAUAGCCGACCUGAGAGGGUGAUCGGCCACACUGGGACUGAGACACGGCCCAGACUCCUACGGGAGGCAGCAGUAGGGAAUCUUCGGCAAUGGACGAAAGUCUGACCGAGCAACGCCGCGUGAGUGGAGAAGGUUUUCGGAUCGUAAAGCUCUGUUGUAAGAGAAGAACGAGUGUGAGAGUGGAAAGUUCACACUG